This 253-nucleotide ribosomal RNA is filed under the name uncultured bacterium. Its description in RNAcentral is "partial 16S ribosomal RNA". It matches the Rfam family "Bacterial small subunit ribosomal RNA", at positions 524 to 776 of the family's 1533-position model. The record is from RNAcentral.
GACAGAGGUGCCAAGCGUUAGGCGGAAUCACUGGGCUUAAAGCGUGUGUAGGCGGAUCGUUAAGUACCUUGUGAAAUCCCACGGCUCAACCGUGGAACUGCUGGGUAUACUGGCGGUCUUGAGCCACCUAGGGGCAACUGGAACAAGCGGUGGAGCGGUGAAAUGCGUAGAUAUCGCUUGGAACGCCAACGGUGAAAACAGGUUGCUGGGGGUGUGCUGACGCUGAGGCGCGACAGCGUGGGGAGCAAACAGG